Molecule: long non-coding RNA, 1093 nt
Organism: Lolium rigidum
Lineage: Eukaryota; Viridiplantae; Streptophyta; Magnoliopsida; Poales; Poaceae
Exons: 2
Source: RefSeq, a predicted model, not a curated record
GCGGCACGCCGCGCCCGUUAGUGUAUCUUUCUCGUGCCUGCACAUGGUCAUUAUGUGAACUCUGACAAUUAUAGACACAGUGAAAGCAAGAAUUUUUUUGUAGAAGAGGGAUUGGCCGGUUGUGCUUAUCUGUGUUUCUUGUAGACUCCAUAAUUGAUAAGAUUGAUCUCUAUAGCUGCUAGACUAACGGUACUCGGUAGUUUUUUUCUUUUUUCAGGGAGACUAACAGUAGUUGAUAGCACUGAAAUAUGUAUAGUGGUUUGGCUACAUGUGCUAGGUCAGUAACAUUGGGCCAGACGUGAUUCAUUCGUUCUAACCGUUUCGUAGUACUUUCUACCUAGUAUAUUUUAGCGGCUGAAAUGAUAAUAGGAACAGAAGAGAGGAAAGGGCACCACCAGCGACCAAAACAACCAGAAGAAGGAAUGAAUGAAAGGUAAGCCAUAGAGGAGGGCCCAGAAGAAGGAAUGAUUGAAAGGUAAGCCGUGGAGAGGAGAAAGAUGAGUUCUAGUUCGUUGACUCCUGGAGCGAUGGAGUCUUGCCGCUGGCCGAGAUCCAGCACUUGGGGAUCGUCUACCUAGGAUGAGCUACUGUAUGAAGAGGAACUGUCAGCUGUUGUAGGCAACCGCAGACAGAAAGCCAUGGAGGGCUGAUCGAGGUGAAGGAUGGUAGAAACGACUCAAGAUGGUGUGAGCCAAUCUCUCCGUGCCUUAAAUUGGAAAGGCUGUGUGAAAAUCAACUGCACAAAGACUAUCUUAUAACUGAUUACAUCAAUAUGGGAUGAUACAAAGACAGAAGAGAUGAAGAGUUGUCUUCAGCAUAAUAAAGCCAUUCAGUGCAACACAAAGUACAGAGAACAAAUUACUGAUUAUAGUACAACGUGGAAGUAUCUGCUAGUGUAAAAUGCAUAUAACAGAUACGUAGUGUGAUCAGUAUUGAGGUAGUUACGCCUUGAAGUGCAUCAGUUCGUGUACCGUGGCAGCUUUUGUAGGUAGUUUCAGCACUGAACCUCUGCAGCUGGCAUUUGCACAGACCUGAAAUUUGUUGCUCGAGGAUGGUCUUGUUCCUAUAAUUGAUUUCAAACCAUUAAUUCUUA